GAUGAACGCUGACAGAAUGCUUAACACAUGCCAGUCAUUGGCGAAGCUGCGCUUGUGCAGUCUAGCCAAGGCGGACGGGUGAGUAACGCGUAAGGAACUUGCCCUGCAGACAGGGAUAACAGACGGAAACGACUGAUAACACCUGGUAUUGUCAGGCUGGCGCAUGCCGACCUGAUGAAAGGAGACGCUGCAGGAGAGCCUUGCGUCCUAUUAGCUAGUUGGUGGGGUAACGGCCCACCAAGGCGAUGAUAGGUAGCCGGCCUGAGAGGGUGAACGGCCACAAGGGGACUGAGAUACGGCCCUUACUCCUACGGGAGGCAGCAGUGGGGAAUAUUGGACAAUGGGGGCAACCCUGAUCCAGCAAUUCUGUGUGCACGAAGAAGGUUUUCGGAUUGUAAAGUGCUUUCAGCAGGGAAGAAGAAAGUGACGGUACCUGCAGAAGAAGCGACGGCUAAAUACGUG
Molecule: ribosomal RNA, 462 nt
Filed under: uncultured bacterium
Lineage: Bacteria
Description: partial 16S ribosomal RNA
Rfam family: Bacterial small subunit ribosomal RNA
Source: RNAcentral